UACAUUUCAAAAGCAAAAACAAAUAAUUCAGUAUUUGUUAAGCAUAAAAACAUUUUUAUAUUCAAAAAUUUAAAGGUUUCAUUCCUUUCUUUAAUUAAUUAAUUAGCUUUAUAACUUGUUGUAUGGUAAUAAGCAUAGAAUGACUUGGAAAACCGUAGAUAUUUA
RNAcentral lists this unclassified non-coding RNA (165 nucleotides) under Schizosaccharomyces pombe (fission yeast). RNAcentral describes it as "non-coding RNA (predicted)". The record is from RNAcentral. Lineage: Eukaryota; Fungi; Ascomycota; Schizosaccharomycetes; Schizosaccharomycetales; Schizosaccharomycetaceae.